This is a long non-coding RNA of Corythoichthys intestinalis (scribbled pipefish), 2451 nucleotides long. RefSeq lists it as uncharacterized. The transcript has 5 exons. Lineage: Eukaryota; Metazoa; Chordata; Actinopteri; Syngnathiformes; Syngnathidae. The record is from RefSeq and is a predicted model, not a curated record.
UUGAAUACAUUUGUCCAGCUAUUACACCAUAGUUUGUCUUGUUUUUAUCAGUAUGACACAACUUUAUUGUGUCUCUACGCCCUUCUUUGAGAUGUGCAAGACUAUCGUCUUUAAAAAAUGUCUACAUAGAGUGACAGAUAAAUGUAGUAGUAAGUCAGCAGUAAAGUAAGAAAGUUAACAGUAGCAGCAUCAGGUUGCUGUGGAACAUUGAGUACUGCGUGGGCUGGGCUGCACCGUCUUUCUUGAUUCUUCCACGUGAUUGGUUAGUAGUGUAAAUUAAGGGACUGGCGGCAUUUAAAUAACAUUACAUCCUUGAGUUGACCACAUUUGUUUUUGAUUGAUGUUGAUCAAUUAAUGUCAAAAAGAGCAUCAUGUGCAGCUAGCAUGCAGGCACUGUGGUUACUCGAAUUUUUGGAUUGGUAUUUUAACUAUUGCUUAGAACAUUUUCUCUUAUUUACGUAUUUUUAAUGCAUCAUUUCAAAAUGUAUGAAAUUUGUAUUUGAAUGUUUUUUUCUUUAGAAUUUUUAAUCCGAUUCUUGCAUUUAUUUUAAAAAGUGCGGUGUUGUUUAAAUAUUUGAACAUUUUUCAGAGUAUUGUUUUAUUCUGAAAACCAACAUUUCUUUAAGUUGAACUUUUUCCUGGCCACACCAAUGUUCAACAAAGACAAAUCUACAGACAAAAAGUUUCGAAUGAUUUUCUCUCUCUCACGAGUUGGAGGAGUCGAAUCUGUCGACACCAUGCGACCAACUCUUAGCACUGCACUUAACCCUCUGGGCUGCGUGUCCCAUUGAUAAGUAUGUUCCCUGCUCGAUUGAGGAGAUUUUCCCCCCUCCCACGCCCCGAACUGUCCUGCGUAUGUGUACUCAGUGACGUCACGUAUAUUUAUCCCAUUGGCUCUUGUUUUCCCUGAGGACGGCGAUGGUCGUGCUGGGGAGGGGGUCAAAGGAAAGAAAGUAAGACUGACGUGUAUUUUUUAUGAUGUGCGCGUGCGCGUCCACGCAUCGUGUACAGUUGGCCCACAGGCAGGGCUAAAAAUAGCACCAACCGAUGCGACGGGCGCAGCCCUUUUGCUCGCCCUUUCCUUUCCCUCUCCUCACUUUUUCUCGGAAUCACCUUUUAUUGGGUCACCCUUUCCACUUACUACAACCCCAACUCCCAUCCUUAGCAUUGACUGUCACUGACGGUGAUGGACGUCCAAUAUUUUUGGACAGGGAGUAUUGGUUUAGUGAAUGAUCACGUUUCAGUACCAUUGACGGCAAUGGACGUCCAGUCCAUUUUGACUGGGUGGGUCAAAAUGUAUUAGACUUCCAUGGCCGUCAGUGGCAGUAAAUGAGUUAAAGAAAGAGAGAAUUCAUUGCUUACAUUGUGUGGUUUUUAUGUUUUGUUGUUAAAAAAAAAAAAAAAAAAAAAAAAAAAAAAGCCUAUAUAUCGUUUACACAAGGAAGACACAUUGUCUAUAUCUUUAUAAAAGCAGAUCAAAAUAUCACAUGAUGUCCAUGUGAUAUUAGUUUUUUUUUCCACACACGCAGGAGGGCAGCAGCAAGCAGCAUCUUUCCACGCAGGCUCCACGGGGCGGAGAAAAAAAAGAGAUUCUGAACGUGACGUCAAUGCCUAGAGGUGGACCCGAAGGCAGCACGGUUAAAUGGAAAAUAUAAGCACCGGUCCAGGACGAGGAGCCUGAUACAGUCUUGUAGAGGUGACCCAUCAUGUGCGUGUUUUGGAGAGACCUCCUCCUUCUCCCCCAAAGAGGAAGGAAGAACGUGUCGGGUGAAGUAGAGGAGGGGUGACGGGUAGAUACCUCAAAGAGUGACGUCAAUCCCCUGGACCACAUGCUCUCCAGCUUCCCUUUGUUCUCAGCAUGCUGCCAAGACGAACCACGUGUCAAGGGGAACUCUUAAUUUUUUUGUAACAAAAAUAAGGAACCCCCCCCCCUUUUUUUUUGCCCUAGCCCCCCCCCCCCCUUUUUUUUUUUUUUGCCCUAGCGUGUUUGUGUGUCUGUGUGUUACACUUCUGUGUUCUCAACAUUUUACAUAUACAGUAUUUGUACAUUAUAUACAAAAGUUUCCGUUAUGAAGGUGAGGUCACGUGUUAUAUUGUCCUGUGACAGAGCAACUUUAUUCAGUGUCUAUCAGCAUGUGUGUGCGCACACGAACUGUGGUUUCAUUCGCGUGCACGCUCGCACUUUUGACGCAUAUUGCGAACCGACGCGCGUGCAUGACACCCAUGCAUCCACAUUUUUGUAGUCUUGCACUGUCGCAGACUACGUGGCAGUCUUCACAUGACGGCGUCAAAGCUCAUAUCACCUGUAUUUUACGUUUAGUUUGUGCGCGUGCUUGUGUCUACUUGUGUGCGUUAGGAAUGGAGAAAAAAAUUUAUAUAAACGGUGAACACGUGCAUGAUCCAAACAGCGUGUUUGUACAAUAAUGUAAUGUAAAAAUAAAAGAAAAAGUA